Molecule: long non-coding RNA, 145 nt
Organism: Gossypium arboreum
Lineage: Eukaryota; Viridiplantae; Streptophyta; Magnoliopsida; Malvales; Malvaceae
Exons: 3
Source: RefSeq, a predicted model, not a curated record
ACCCUAACUCAUGAAAGGAAAAAAUUGGGUGAAGAUUGGUGAAGGUUCAUGCUCCAAAUCACAGAGAAGAAAAGGUAAUCCCCAGACUUAGAUGGAUUGGUGCGAUGGAGGACUCAGCGGUGACCAGAAUAAUUUUUGGACUUGA